Molecule: microRNA precursor, 86 nt
Filed under: Columba livia (rock pigeon)
Lineage: Eukaryota; Metazoa; Chordata; Aves; Columbiformes; Columbidae
Description: microRNA cli-mir-9627 precursor
Source: miRBase by way of RNAcentral
GAAGGUUUUGUAGCUCAGGAGCAGUGCCAAGGCUGGGCUGGCUCUGCGCCUCAGCGUGGGCACUGCUCCAGACCUAAUAAACCCUG